Molecule: ribosomal RNA, 492 nt
Filed under: uncultured bacterium
Lineage: Bacteria
Description: partial 16S ribosomal RNA
Rfam family: Bacterial small subunit ribosomal RNA
Source: RNAcentral
GAUGAACGCUGGCGGCGUGCCUAACACAUGCAAGUCGAACGGCAAGACAAUAAGCUUGUGCCCUUACCGGUAGCGGCUGGCGGGCGGGUAACGAGUGGAUCGUCAUCUUCUUUUUCGGGGAUGAUAACGUAAAACAACUUACACUACUACAGCAUAUGUCGUACCGGUGAGAGCAAUGGAUCUUUUGAGCUUUCGCGGUUCACUUAGCCGCGGCCGCAUUAGCUAGUUGGGUUGGUAAAGUCCCACCAAGGCAACGAUACGUAGCCGAUCUGAGAGGCUGAUAGGCCACACUGGAACUGAGACACGGUCCAGACUCCUACGGGAGGCAGCAGUGGGGAAUCUUGGGCAAUGGGCGGAAGCAUGACGCAGCCAUGCCGCGUGAGUGACGAAGGUCUUCGGGUCGUAAAGCCCUUUUGUUGGGGAAGAACAGCUGUGUGAUGAGACAUAGCCGUUGUGACGGUACCUAAUGAAUAAGCACCGGCUAACUACGUG